RNAcentral lists this ribosomal RNA (373 nucleotides) under uncultured bacterium. RNAcentral's name for it is "bacterial SSU rRNA". It matches the Rfam family "Bacterial small subunit ribosomal RNA", at positions 525 to 896 of the family's 1533-position model. The record is from RNAcentral.
ACAUAGGGUGCAAGCGUUGUCCGGAAUUAUUGGGCGUAAAGAGUUCGUAGGUGGUUCGUUACGUCGGAUGUGAAAAUCUGGGGCUCAACCCCAGACCUGCAUUCGAUACGGGCGAGCUAGAGUUUGGUAGGGGAGACUGGAAUUCCUGGUGUAGCGGUGGAAUGCGCAGAUAUCAGGAGGAACACCAAUGGCGAAGGCAGGUCUCUGGGCCAAUACUGACACUGAGGAACGAAAGCGUGGGGAGCGAACAGGAUUAGAUACCCUGGUAGUCCACGCCGUAAACGGUGGGCGCUAGUUGUGGGGACCUUCCACGGUCUCUGCGACGCAGCUAACGCAUUAAGCGCCCCGCCUGGGGAGUACGAUCGCAAGAUUA